Non-coding RNA from Chaetura pelagica (chimney swift), 429 nucleotides. Lineage: Eukaryota; Metazoa; Chordata; Aves; Apodiformes; Apodidae. The record is from the annotation of a RefSeq genome assembly.
AUGGUCCUGAUUUUCCUGGCAGCCCUGGUGGCACUCACAGACUUUGGUCAUGCCCAAAAGGACUCUGUGCUCCAGUUCCCAGCAGAAAUGACCAUCCAGGUGGGACACAACACAACAUUGCACUGCAAUUUCUCCACCAGCUAUUCCAAUCCUUACAUCUUCUGGUACCAGCAGAGGCAGACCCAGUCCCCUCAGAUGCUGCUGCGGGUGGACAAAUGGAAACCUCAGAUGGAUUCAGGGAGGUUCUCCUCUGUGCUGUCUGCAGAAGACUCCCAGGUGCUUCUACAUGUGCAGGAUGCUGAGCUCCAGGACAGCGCUGCCUAUUUCUGUGCACUGAGCCCACCCUGGUACCCACAGCUUGCCGCACUGUACAGAAAGGUGUUGGGUGCUCUGAGGAGCAGUUCCCUUCCUGCCACUGCUUGCAUGUAG